Molecule: ribosomal RNA, 783 nt
Filed under: Geobacillus sp.
Lineage: Bacteria; Bacillati; Bacillota; Bacilli; Caryophanales; Anoxybacillaceae
Description: bacterial SSU rRNA
Rfam family: Bacterial small subunit ribosomal RNA
Source: RNAcentral
ACAUGCAGUCGAGCGGACAGAUGGGAGCUUGCUCCCUGAUGUUAGCGGCGGACGGGUGAGUAACACGUGGGUAACCUGCCUGUAAGACUGGGAUAACUCCGGGAAACCGGGGCUAAUACCGGAUGGUUGUUUGAACCGCAUGGUUCAAACAUAAAAGGUGGCUUCGGCUACCACUUACAGAUGGACCCGCGGCGCAUUAGCUAGUUGGUGAGGUAACGGCUCACCAAGGCAACGAUGCGUAGCCGACCUGAGAGGGUGAUCGGCCACACUGGGACUGAGACACGGCCCAGACUCCUACGGGAGGCAGCAGUAGGGAAUCUUCCGCAAUGGACGAAAGUCUGACGGAGCAACGCCGCGUGAGUGAUGAAGGUUUUCGGAUCGUAAAGCUCUGUUGUUAGGGAAGAACAAGUACCGUUCGAAUAGGGCGGUACCUUGACGGUACCUAACCAGAAAGCCACGGCUAACUACGUGCCAGCAGCCGCGGUAAUACGUAGGUGGCAAGCGUUGUCCGGAAUUAUUGGGCGUAAAGGGCUCGCAGGCGGUUUCUUAAGUCUGAUGUGAAAGCCCCCGGCUCAACCGGGGAGGGUCAUUGGAAACUGGGGAACUUGAGUGCAGAAGAGGAGAGUGGAAUUCCACGUGUAGCGGUGAAAUGCGUAGAGAUGUGGAGGAACACCAGUGGCGAAGGCGACUCUCUGGUCUGUAACUGACGCUGAGGAGCGAAAGCGUGGGGAGCGAACAGGAUUAGAUACCCUGGUAGUCCACGCCGUAAACGAUGAGUGCUAA